GGCACUUAGUGCCUGUAGAAUGAACCUGCCCAUCAUCUCCACUGAUCCUCAUGAGAGUCCUCAGGCCCUGAGGGACGGCCUCCCUGCUUUACAGCUGAGGGACAUGAGAUGCAGAAAGGCAGCAACCUCCUGAUAACGCACCAGUGGGGGUCAGACCUCCAUGCUUUCUGACUCAGUGCACUGCUCUCUGCACCACUUGUACCCCAACAAGGAUUUGAAAGGGAAACAAUGGAUGUGCAAGAGCCCAGUGUACUAAUGAAUGCCUGGGAAAGGCUGAGAAAGGACCAAGAGAAGCUAAGAAGUGUAAAGGAGAGACUGAAAGCAAGGAAGAGUAUAUCUGCACAGAGGGAUGAUCAUAUGAAGAGGCAUCAAGAGGGUGGCCAUAUGCAAGCCAAGGAGAGAAGCCUUACAGAAAACCAACCCUUCUUGCACCUUGACCUUGGACUUCCAGCCUCUAGAGCUAUGAGAAAAUAAAUACCCGUUGUUUAUGCACUCUGGUCUGUGGUACUUUGUUAUGGAUACUAAUACACUUGGCACUCUUAAACAUGAAUCAUUUCUGGUUCUGGAAUAUUAAAUUCAAGUGACUUUUAUGUGUAAUCCAAAUGCUAAUGUACUAAUUUAAAGUGGGGAUAUUUUCUUUCUAAGUGUUUGUUAAGCCCAGGGUGCCGU
This is a long non-coding RNA of Manis pentadactyla (Chinese pangolin), 669 nucleotides long. RefSeq lists it as uncharacterized. The transcript has 3 exons. NCBI's taxonomy places the organism in Eukaryota, Metazoa, Chordata, Mammalia, Pholidota, Manidae. The record is from RefSeq and is a predicted model, not a curated record.